GCAGCCGCGGUAAUACGGAAGAUGCGAGCGUUAUCCGGAUUUAUUGGGUUUAAAGGGAGCGUAGGCGGCCUGUUAAGUCAGCGGUUAAAUGUCAGUGCCCAACAUUGGCAUGCCGUUGAUACUGGUGGGCUUGAAUACACACAAGGAUGGUGGAAUUCGUUGUGUAGCGGUGAAAUGCUUAGAUAUGACGAAGAACUCCGAUUGCGAAGGCAGCCAUCUGGGGUGCGAUUGACGCUGAGGCUCGAAAGUGCGGGAAUCAAACAGGAUUAGAUACCCC
Molecule: ribosomal RNA, 277 nt
Filed under: uncultured Prevotellaceae bacterium
Lineage: Bacteria; Pseudomonadati; Bacteroidota; Bacteroidia; Bacteroidales; Prevotellaceae
Description: partial 16S ribosomal RNA
Rfam family: Bacterial small subunit ribosomal RNA
Source: RNAcentral